GCCUGGGUGGCUCAGUCAGUGGAGCGUCUGACUUCAGCUCAGGCCAUGAUCUCACCACUCGUGGGUUCAAGCCCGCGUCGGGCU
Molecule: transfer RNA, 84 nt
Filed under: Felis catus (domestic cat)
Lineage: Eukaryota; Metazoa; Chordata; Mammalia; Carnivora; Felidae
Rfam family: tRNA
About the family: Transfer RNA (tRNA) molecules are approximately 80 nucleotides in length. Their secondary structure includes four short double-helical elements and three loops (D, anti-codon, and T loops).
Source: Rfam by way of RNAcentral